Molecule: long non-coding RNA, 619 nt
Filed under: Elaeis guineensis (African oil palm)
Lineage: Eukaryota; Viridiplantae; Streptophyta; Magnoliopsida; Arecales; Arecaceae
Description: long non-coding RNA (EGUI_LNC033619)
Source: RNAcentral
AAUAUUUAGAUGGAUAAAAUGGUUGGAUUAUAUGUUGGAUCAAGUGAUAUUUUCAUACCCAAAGAUAUAAUAUUUGCUUGUACGUAAUGUGCAUGUCUUGUUAGGUUCACUAGUGAUAUGAUAUAUCACUAAAGGGAUAAAGCCGCUAGCUUGUUAUAGCACUUGCCUAAAGGGAUGACAUAAUGGUGCACUUGGUUGCUUGCCAAAGUUAAAUAUAAAGAAACAUAUUUGUUUUGGAUUAAGUUUAAAUAAUCCCCCAUUUGAUAAUAACAUGAGCAUGUAUUUUUGCAACACUAAUUCCCACAAUGAUUGAUAGUAGCAUAAAAAAUUUCUUUUCUUAAUAAAUCAAAUUUUUUAGAAUAGAAAAAAAAAUAAUGCUCACAUUAGGAUGUGCUGAUCUUGAUCUUGUGUUAUCUAUGGAUGAACCUUCACCACUUAUAGAUGAAAGUAUAUCAGAAUAGAAGAACUUUUUUGAAAAAUUGGAGCAUUCCAAUCACCUCAGUUUGCUCCUAAAGAAUCUAAUAUGGUGCAUUAGGGGAUCUAUCCUUUCAUAUCAUAAAGCACAUGAUUUCUUGAAUGUUGUGGAGCACCAAUUUGUAAGCCCUAAUAGGACAAAGGU